CAUUGUUGAAAAUCACCACUGGCCUUGGUCAUGGCCUGGGUUGAGAUUUCGUGCCCAGAACCACCAGGGGCCUCGGCUCACCUCCCGCUGCCAAGGUGUGGGAUGGUGAAACCCAGGCCCAAAUAAUG
Molecule: small nucleolar RNA, 128 nt
Organism: Nannospalax galili (Upper Galilee mountains blind mole rat)
Lineage: Eukaryota; Metazoa; Chordata; Mammalia; Rodentia; Spalacidae
Source: Ensembl